UUUUUUUUGUUUUUUUGCUUUUUAGGGCCACAACUGUGGCAUAUGGGAAUUUCCAGGCUAGGGGCCAAAUUGGAGCUGCAGCUGCUGGCCUACAUCACAGCAAUGCCAAAUCCAAGCUGUGUCUGCAACCUACACCACAGCUCACUGCAAUGCCGGAUCCUUAACCCACUGAGUGAGGCCAAGUAUUGAAAUCAUGUUCUCAUGCAUACGAGUUGGGUUCAUUUCCACCGAGCCACGAUGGGAACUCCCAUGAAUAAACACUUUUAAGUAGAUCACCAGCUGCUUUAAUGUCCUGGCUUUUUAUGCCAUUCUCAAGAGAUAAUGGUCAACUAUAAAUGUUGCAGCUGCAAAAAUAGGCUUUUGAAAAUAAACCCAAGUUCCUCAAGUUGAGGCAGUGAUUCAGGUCAGAAUGAGAACAUACUCAACAGCUGAAAUGUAAGCUACCACUUUCCAUUUUAUGUAAUAGCUACGGCUAUGGAAUAAAAGUGUGACAACAGUAGGACUUUAUUAUGAUUCUGCACUGUUAACAUGUUUAACGAUCACAAGACUCAAACUCGGAAGUAUGUUAUAACCCUCAAAAAAUGAGGGAUGGGGAAAAGGUUUUCUGUUUAACACAUCUUUUAUUUUCACCUCUGUUUCUAGCCAUCAAUUGCUAAAAUUUAGCAAUUGAUGGCUAGAAAUGCUUAAAUGCUAUUGAACAAAGAAUGUCAUUCUAAGAGGCUGUAACUUUCUGUGUGACAGGUAAAAUACUUUUCAAUAUUAUAUUUUAAAAUUAGCCAAGGAAUAGGUCAUAAGAGAAAUUUAAUAUAAGUACUGAGUAAAUGUAUUAAUAACACACGCUAUGAGGAGCCAGGCCUAUGCCUAGUUAUACCUAAUGGCAGGAUUAUAAAGAUGGAUUUCUCCUAAGGAUUUGAUUUCUACAGUUCAGUGGCCUGUUCUUGCUUUUAGAUACAUAUGCCUCAAAUGAUAAGCUCUUAAGUAAGUUUAAAGUAGAAUGUUAUUCUAGCACAACUAGUUAGUAUCUAUUAACAGUGAAAACUGGGAUAACUUACUAGCUACCUCUCUCUCUCUUUUUUUUUUUUUUGGCCAUGCCCACAGCAUGUGGAAGUUCCCCAGCCAGGAAUCAAACACAAGCCACAGCAGUAACCCAAGUCACAACACUGAAACGACAAGUCCUUAAUCACUAGUUCACCAGGGAAUGCCAAUUACUUCUGUUUUUUGAAAGUCUUUCACAAGACAUUUCAGUACAGCUUCUUUCUUUCAUAUCAGCCGUCGCAGCUACAAUGCUCAAAAUUUAGAAUCCUUUACAUUGUACACUGUGCUGAUUAUUUAGAAACCUACUACUGCCACUUGUUAGCUAUGUGAUCUUAGGGGAGUUACCUAAUAUUUCUGAACUUUAAUUUCCUUGUCUCUAAAUGGGGGUCAUAAUCUACAGAACAUACUGUGUUAUUUUUUUUCAUGAUCAUGUAAAAUAAUCAAAAUUGAGAGUUAAGCUCAAAUCUUAAUAUAAAAGCAUGAAAGUAUUAGUGCUAUCUUAUAUCCUUCAUCAUACUACAGUGGAGUAGAAAUGAAUAUAUGAAUAUUUGCACUCUCUUGAACUUUGAGGAAAGAGGAGAGAUUAUAAUAAUCAGUCUGUAAUAGAGUUGGAAAGACCUUCAUAAAAUUUGUCUUUUGCCAAUAUAUUAUUAGAGCACAUCACAGAAAUUUAACUCAUUCUAAUAAAACUGGUAAUACCAAUAUCAAGGAAUGUAAGUUAAUGUCCCCUACAUUAACAAGUAAGAGUAAGUGGUCCAAAUAAGUUGAAUUAAAAUAGCAGUUUGUGUUCCUUGUAUUUAUGUCUUUAAAUUCAAUCUCAAAACUUAUUGCUCGAAACAGAAAUAUUUGCAGUUUCUUCAUGGAGCUCACUAAACCCCUAGCCCUGGGUUAACUAUUGUCAUACACCCUAAAUAGAAAUUUUCUCUGCAUUUUAUCAUUCUUUCACAGGAGAUAAAAAGACCAGGUAAGCAUAUUCAAAACAUGAUUUUUCCUGAGUGAAUAGGGAGGAGAAACCGCUGAGAUCCUCGUACUUGGCUUUUUAGAUCACCAAGAAUAGGGAUAUAUGAUCAAAGACUGAAUGUGCUUAAGAAUAGCAGGGUAAGUAAAAAUGACAACAAUAUGAAUGACUCAAGGGUCAGCCAGUUUAUGGUACUAGAGGCUCAUCGGGAAUAUUAAAUCCAUUAUUCACUGCAGACAGUCUGUGUAAACCAGGGCCUUCCAGACUAUCUACUUACUCUUAAUAUUUUCUAAACAAUAGUGUCCUUUAUGAUACUAACAGUAUCAAUAAGCAGGACAUAAAAAUAAGAAAGACAUUUUAGAUUAAGUUUUCUUUUUCAAAAAUGUAGAUUUUUAAAAUAUAUGUGCAAGACAAAGGUGGAUCUGCCAGAGUAAAGACAUUUCUAUCAGAUGCUCUUCUUUGAAACCAAUGAAAACUACAAAAUGCCUGAAACUCAAUAAAAAUUGUCUGUCUUCAAUGAAAAUAUGGAAAGCCAACUCAACUUCAAACCCUAUUCUAUAAAUAAGCUGCCAAGAACAGCGACAUCAGAACCAAUUUGUGGCAUGAUGCCUAGACUAGAUCUUUCUUUAUAUCUAAGUCUGUGGCUAUGUUUGCAUUUUCAUCUAAGUACGUUAAUGUACACAAAGCCAGAUAGCACAGACCUGAAAUGCCUGUGACCCACACAAUUCAUGCUUGAUUGCUUAUUUGAGAUAUGUUUAAGAAACUGAAUGAGUUAUGGAAAAAUACAUAAGCCUCAUCCCACCCUGCAGAGAGGCAGAGAGUGAGGCCAAGCAAGGAACUGACAAAUAUUCUCAAGAACAAGGGCUUAAGUGGGAGGGAAUGAAGGAAACAAUCACAACAGCUGAUCAUAAGCCACUGAAGAACUUGCAAAAAUACAGACUCAUCAAAAACAAAAGCUAUGAGAGAAUGACUCACUCUGGUCCAAGCUUACUUCCGUUUUGCCUCAAAUGCUCAGAGCACUGAGUGGAUAAUGGUGUAUACAUAUGCUCAGAUGGGGUAACAACAUAUUCUGAGAAAUAUUUCUUUCCCAGCUUAUUUUUUUAGCAUAUUGCUGAUACUGACAGAAUAGACCCCAUUAAAAAUAAUUUAAGAUGAGAAGAACUCUGUACACAAACUAGGUAUCCUCACAUAAAAGGAGUAAAGUAACACAACAGGAGUUCCCAUCGUGGCUCAGUGGUUAACGAAUCCGACUGGGAACCAUGAGAUUGCAGGUUCGAGCCCUGGCCUUGCUCAUGGGUUAAGGAUCUGGUGUUGCCGUGAGUUGUGGUCUAGAUCUCAGAUGUGGCUUGGAUCCUGCGUUGCUGUGGCUGUGGUCUAGGCCAGCAGCUGUAGCUCUGAUUCACCCCCUAGCCUGG
RNAcentral lists this long non-coding RNA (3408 nucleotides) under Sus scrofa (pig). RNAcentral describes it as "lncRNA (ENSSSCG00060040810.1)". Lineage: Eukaryota; Metazoa; Chordata; Mammalia; Artiodactyla; Suidae. The record is from RNAcentral.